GCGUGCCACCGCUCGCUCAUCUCACUUACAGCAUGAAGAGGAGUCACAACAUAUAGAUCUAGGAAUGUUUAGUGUUUGAUUGUGGAAUGCUGCUUUUAUCUUUUGAUUUUCUUCUUCUUUUUCCAAAACGGAAGGCGCCGUGUAGCCACGUUAUAAGGGAGACGGACUAAAGGGGGACAUGUAACGAAAACAAGGUGUUCACUGAAAAGCCAACUGUCGGUGUGUGCAUGUGUAUACAGAGUGUGUGUGUGUGUGUGUCACUGUCUUCAGAGAGACAUUUUGGGGUGGUGGCGGGUGGGUGAAAUGAAUUGUAAGGCUAAAUUUCUGUUCUGGUUCUUUGUUCAUUUGUUUACUAGUUAAAUGCAAAAAAAAACUUCAUGUAUGAACCUCAGCAUCGACGUCUGUCUCUGGGAGAAAACAGUUUUUCCAUCCAUGGCCUGUUGUCUGUCUUCCAAAAAUUUGUGUGUGUGUGUGCGUUUCUGCUGUACGGGUGCCGGUUCUCAUGCAAUGUGCACACGUGCGAGCGUGACUCCCACAUGGUGCGUUUGAGUCCCCGGUGCAGCGAGGCAGGUGUGCGUGGGGGAGGUGGGGGGAGGGCAGUGUGUGCGUGAAUGAUCCCCUGCAGGCUCUUGCUCUUCACCUCCACCCGUCCUCCCCUCUAAGAAAAAAGAAAAAAGAGACCCUGGUGCUCUCAGCAUCUGCCUUAAAGAAGCAGGUGUGGAAUCUCUCAAAGAACACGACUACAGUCCGACCAGUCGUUUUAAGCUACACGUUUCAGCUUCGGGGGGGUGGGGGCAACAUGUGUGUAUUUGAUUUUUGCACAUUUUGUCCCUGCGUACAAAGUGGCUGCUAAUGCCUUAAAAACAGACACGGCCUACCGGAAGUAUGUGAUAUGUAUGAGUGAGCGAGAUAUAUCGACAUCACAAGGGCCAUUCCUUUUCAUUGUGACGGUCACUGGCGUGGUGCUUUCAUGCGUUACACAACACACACACACACACACACACCCCGUCAUAGCUCCAUGAACAUCAUCGCCGCCUUUCUCCUCAGAAAGAUCAAAUGUAUGUUUAUUGAACAAUAACUUAAAGGAGGGAGUUUGUGCACUUACUUUUUGAGAAUUGGAUCAUUUGGACACUGUCGUCUAAAGAAGUCACUUCCAAUGUGGAGGAAAAGUGAAUCGUUGAGCAGCAAUUUGUAUUUGCCAUUGAUAUUAGAGGAAUAAAACAUUUGAA
This is a long non-coding RNA of Gasterosteus aculeatus aculeatus (three-spined stickleback), 1229 nucleotides long. NCBI's taxonomy places the organism in Eukaryota, Metazoa, Chordata, Actinopteri, Perciformes, Gasterosteidae. The record is from Ensembl.